CGCGGCUGAACCUCUCUGCGCACGGAAUAGCCAGUUAGUUAUAGACAAUAGACAUCAUUUUAGUUAAAGGACGCAACUCAUACAUGUCGCGAGAAAACCGCGGAUGCAACUCGGAUGUGUUGUACAAGAAUCGCGGACGCAACUCGGAUAUCACCAUGUAUAUUUUUGUAUUUUGGGACGCAAUUCGUGUGCAGCCCUAGUCCCAAUACAAACACUGCUACAGCAUAGAAUUAAUGAAUUAAAACGUAGUACAUGUGAAUAGUAAAUAUGUUAUAAAUACCAGCAUAGUGGCUUGUUAAAGAAUGCUGAGCGAAAAUCAGAAUUUAUCAUUUUACUACCAUCGGUACUAUUAUAAUCUUCAUCAAAUUGUUUAAUUGUAGAAGUACUAAGUAAUACACAAUACACAUAUCUGAACAAUUUUU
This is a long non-coding RNA of Rhopalosiphum maidis (corn leaf aphid), 422 nucleotides long. RefSeq lists it as uncharacterized. Lineage: Eukaryota; Metazoa; Arthropoda; Insecta; Hemiptera; Aphididae. The transcript has 3 exons. The record is from RefSeq and is a predicted model, not a curated record.